This 243-nucleotide long non-coding RNA is filed under the name Hordeum vulgare. RNAcentral's name for it is "long non-coding RNA (HVUL_LNC008812)". Lineage: Eukaryota; Viridiplantae; Streptophyta; Magnoliopsida; Poales; Poaceae. The record is from RNAcentral.
UUCUUCGCCUGACGCCGCUUCUCCUCCAGCUUGUCCCCCAUCUUCUUCCCCAGGUCCAUCAUCCGGCUCCGCCUCCCGCUCUUCCGCUUUGCGUCAUCUCCAACACAGGCCGCUGCUGCCGCCACCGCCUGCUGCUGCUGCUGCUCCCCCGCGGGUAUGAUGGCCCUCAGGGAGGUGUACAGCGGGUAGCCCGCACUGCUCUCCGAAGUGGCGCCCUCCUGGAGCCUCUCCGUGGCCAGCAGC